This 275-nucleotide long non-coding RNA is filed under the name Bos taurus (domestic cattle). RNAcentral's name for it is "long non-coding RNA NONBTAT017034". Lineage: Eukaryota; Metazoa; Chordata; Mammalia; Artiodactyla; Bovidae. The record is from RNAcentral.
CCAAGGUGUGAUAAUGCUAACCAACAGGGAGAGAAACAGACAGCCUGCUCCUUUUGUAGCCGGCUAGGAAAGCUGCAUUGGAAGUCUUGUUAUUACAACAUGUUAUUGAAAUCCUCUAAGGAUGAUUCUAGUUAAACUCUUAACUAUCAUUUGAAAACCGUAGUUAAUUUUAGAAUCUACAAUGUAGAGAUGAUGCUUAUCAACAGAUGUUGUUUUAUCACAUUUACUUUUAGAAUGAUGGGUUCAAAUAUCAUAAAAAUAAUAAUAUAAGCAGC